AAUCCCAGCACUUUGGGAGGCUGAAGUGGGCGGAUCAUUUGAGGUCAGGAGUUUGAGAUCAGCCUGGCCAGCAUGGCGAAACCCCAUCUCUACUAAAAAUACAAAAAUUAGCUGGGCGUGGUGGCACAUGCCUGUAAUCUCAGCUACUCGGGAGGCUGAGGCAGGAGAAUUGCUUGAACCUGGGAGGCAGAGGUUGCAGUGAGCCUGGGCAACAGAGUGAGUGAGACUUAUAUCUCAAAAAAAAACAAAAAACAAAAAACUGAAAGACAUGAAGAAAUGGUUUUUGUACCAAGGUUUGGCCCACGCUGAGAUUCACAAAGAACUGGCUUUCAGUUCUUAUCUUUAUUUUGAUUUAAACUGGCCCAUCAUGUUGUCCUUUGAAGUUAGUCUAGUAAAUUUCUUUCCAAAGGGCUGGGGCACUCAGAAGGGAGUUUACUUUUCUAUAUUUAUUUCAUAAAGCAAAGAUGGGAGAUCCUCCAUUAGGGCUUGGGAAAGUAAACUGAGUGGCAGAAGGGCUCCUGUGAUUAGCUGAGAGAGACUGUGGUCCUUCGGCCCUGAUGAUAGAUCCCUGGCCUUGCCACAUACCAUACACAGUGCCCGCACCCCCAUCCCCCACCACACCCAAUAUAGUCUGUGCCCUCAGGACAUUGCUCCAGGGCAGUAGCAUGGUGAGGUUAGCCUGAUGAUGGCCUUGAGCUAAAGAGUGUGCACCUAAAAUGCACUUGUUUGAGUAGUUUCUGCCUAUGCCUUCAAGUUGCCUUUUUGGGAAAACCUAGUGACCGUUAAGAGUAAAUGCAAACUAAUUUGAUUUUAAUAUCAUAUGUAGAGCUGUAUUAUAUGAACCAAAUGCUAGUCUGUUAAGCAAUAGCUACACUUAUUUUUUCAAGACAAUGGAUGGUUUAAAUGGAGUCAUCUAUAGAAAUUGGUAGUGGCGUGAGUUAUGCAUUGUAACCAUCAAGAAAGUUCAGUUGAUGAAGUGUAGAGGAGCGAUGGAGGUUGUCAGACAUCGGUUGUGUACAUGCUCCUUUUUCUUUCACUUUAGUUUCCACGGGCUCCCUUGCUCAGCAGUAUGCGCACCCUAACGCUACCCUGCACCCACAUACUCCACACCCUCAGCCUUCAGCUACCCCCACUGGACAGCAGCAAAGCCAACAUGGUGGAAGUCAUCCUGCACCCAGUCCUGUUCAGCACCAUCAGCACCAGGCCGCCCAGGCUCUCCAUCUGGCCAGUCCACAGCAGCAGUCAGCCAUUUACCA
Molecule: long non-coding RNA, 1256 nt
Filed under: Homo sapiens (human)
Lineage: Eukaryota; Metazoa; Chordata; Mammalia; Primates; Hominidae
Description: non-protein coding lnc-FAM109A-5:4
Source: RNAcentral